RNAcentral lists this transfer RNA (88 nucleotides) under Armatimonadota bacterium. Its description in RNAcentral is "Armatimonadetes bacterium (hot springs metagenome) tRNA-Tyr". It matches the Rfam family "tRNA". Rfam says of the family: Transfer RNA (tRNA) molecules are approximately 80 nucleotides in length. The record is from RNAcentral. Lineage: Bacteria; Bacillati; Armatimonadota.
GCAGGGGUGCCCGAGCUGGCCAAAGGGGCGAGACUGUAAAUCUCGUGGGCGCCGCCCUUCGGAGGUUCGAAUCCUCCCCCCUGCACCA